This 450-nucleotide ribosomal RNA is filed under the name uncultured bacterium. RNAcentral's name for it is "partial 16S ribosomal RNA". It matches the Rfam family "Bacterial small subunit ribosomal RNA", at positions 354 to 796 of the family's 1533-position model. The record is from RNAcentral.
GUGGGGAAUAUUGCGCAAUGGGCGAAAGCCUGACGCAGCGACGCCGCGUGAGGGAUGAAGGUUUUCGGAUCGUAAACCUCUGUCAGAAGGGAAGAAACUACAUUGUGCUAAUCAGCAGUGUACUGACGGUACCUUCAAAGGAAGCACCGGCUAACUCCGUGCCAGCAGCCGCGGUAAUACGGAGGGUACAAGCGUUAAUCGGAAUUACUGGGCGUAAAGCGCACGUAGGCUGUAGUGUAAGUCAGGGGUGAAAUCCCACGGCUCAACCGUGGAACUGCCUUUGAUACUGAACAACUUGAAUCCGGGAGAGGGUGGCGGAAUUCCAGGUGUAGGAGUGAAAUCCGUAGAUAUCUGGAGGAACAUCAGUGGCGAAGGCGGCCACCUGGACCGGUAUUGACGCUGAGGUGCGAAAGCGUGGGGAGCAAACAGGAUUAGAUACCCCAGUAGUCC